Molecule: long non-coding RNA, 584 nt
Organism: Strigops habroptila (Kakapo)
Lineage: Eukaryota; Metazoa; Chordata; Aves; Psittaciformes; Psittacidae
Exons: 3
Source: RefSeq, a predicted model, not a curated record
AAAACAAAGCAGAGAUUUGUGCUGACCCUGCAUCACAAUCAUUGCCAGAUUUCCUGUAAAACCUCAGGAAGAGGAAACAAAAUAUGAAUGUGAUGUGAAAAAACUUGUAGCACUUCAAAAACCAUGGCAAUAAAGCUGCAGAACAUUGUCUCCAACACAGCAAGAAGGCAUUCAGAAGGAGAGACAGACCGGAAAACUAAAUACGUUACAGAAGAUUUCCUUGUGAAAAUCUGGGUUACAUCUGAAGAGCUCUCCCCAGGAGAAGGAACACUUUGGCCGGCUGGAUGCUCUCUGCCUUCUUCAGCACUGCCAUGAGAAGCCCAGAUCUGGAAGAGAACAUCUGUUCUUUGGUAUUAUUCCCAAACCCAGCUGUACAUUGUGUCCAGAGGCUUGUCGGGUUAUCUUAAUGAAGACAGAUUUCUCUAAAGUGUCACUGAGGCGAUUCUGGAAAAGGAAAAAACAACAUCGAGAGCUUUUAUCCACACAAAUGGCUAACACGGGUUGGACUCCAGAUAGGGAUAAAGAUCAUUUGGAUGUUUGCUUAACAUUUUUCUCCCUGUGUAAAUAAAAUGCACUAUAAACCA